Long non-coding RNA from Lotus japonicus, 1136 nucleotides. RefSeq lists it as uncharacterized. The record is from RefSeq and is a predicted model, not a curated record. The transcript is spliced from 8 exons. Lineage: Eukaryota; Viridiplantae; Streptophyta; Magnoliopsida; Fabales; Fabaceae.
GAAAACCCUCAACCUCAAUCUCUCUUCACGUCUCCCUCACAUUUUGGCAAACCCUCAACCUCUCCUCCCCUCAGUUUGCACCGGUUCCCCCACCUCUAUCUUCCCUCGAGUCUCAAAAUCAUAACCUAGUUGUCGCCGCUAGGCUCGCCCUUGUCGCACAUAUGCUCACCGCUCAAGCUCUCACCACACUUGUGCUCGUCACAACCUCAAACACAGACCCUUGAGAUCUCCUGCAAUUCUAAGAAGAUUCAUUGUAGAUGUUAUGUUGAAGCUCCUUCUCUCGAAGCCCCAACACAUUGUUUGGUUUUAGGGUUUCUGAACCCACAAGCACAAGAGGGUGCUUCAACUUUGGGACUGAUUAUUCUGUGUACUGGGUGGAGUGAACUUAAUUCCCUAAAUCUGCCUACUAACAUUUGAAAUCUAUGAUGGGGGUGUUCAAGAUGUUGGUCUUGAUGAAUAUGAGAUGCAGCUUACUAAGGUACUGAUACAACAGCUACACAAGCAAUGGAGGGGAAUGACAUUCAGGGUCUUCCAUGGGAGAGCUUAAACAUAACGGGGUGAACAAUGCAGGAAUCAAUGGGUUCAGCACACAUAAUAUGGUUGAUAGGAAAAGUGGAUGCAGCUCACCGUCACAAGUGGAUAUAGAAAUAACCUAAUGAUCAAGAAAUCAACUUCUUAGCAUGGCACAAUUCAGCACUCGGUUUGUUGAUGGAUUUCAUCUUGAACUUGCAUUGGUACAAAUCUUAUCAUUCAAAGUGUUCCUCUACCAUAUCCCUGUCGUCAUAUGGAUUAUACGGUUAAUUGCUCCCUAUCAAAGUUAACUGGGCAUAUGCUAGUGGCAGAGAAAAGAUACAUCAGGUUGGUCCAGAAUUAGAUAUAUAGAUAUUUAUGUUUGAACAAAAUAUGUGCCCCUUUAGGAACUUUUAGCAAAGACAUUAUGAUAAUGUAUUACGAUAUUAUGAGAAUAUGUAUGUUUCUUUUUUGAACAAAAUGUAUGUUUCUUUCAUGUGGUACUAGCAUGUAGAAGACAUAUGUCGCUGAGCUGCUUAUAAAACUAAUGUGGAAUUUGUUAGAGGGGACAUAAGGUUCAUAGUUUUUUGCUCUAAAAAUUGUGUAUUCUAUAUACUAAAAUGAAG